CAGCAGCAGCCGCGGUAAUACGGAGGGUGCAAGCGUUAAUCGGAAUUACUGGGCGUAAAGCGUGCGUAGGCGGUUCGUUAAGUCUGUUGUGAAAGCCCCGGGCUCAACCUGGGAAUGGCAAUGGAUACUGGCGAGCUAGAGUGUGUCAGAGGAUGGUGGAAUUCCCGGUGUAGCGGUGAAAUGCGUAGAGAUCGGGAGGAACAUCAGUGGCGAAGGCGGCCAUCUGGGACAACACUGACGCUGAGGCACGAAAGCGUGGGGAGCAAACAGGAUUAGAUACCCCCGUAGUCCCUGUCUCUUAUAC
This 304-nucleotide ribosomal RNA is filed under the name uncultured bacterium. RNAcentral's name for it is "partial 16S ribosomal RNA". It matches the Rfam family "Bacterial small subunit ribosomal RNA", at positions 506 to 807 of the family's 1533-position model. The record is from RNAcentral.